UACGUAGGGGGCAAGCGUUGUCCGGAAUUAUUGGGCGUAAAGCGCGCGCAGGCGGUCUCUUAAGUCUGAUGUGAAAGCCCCCGGCUCAACCGGGGAGGGCCAUUGGAAACUGGGAGACUUGAGUACAGAAGAGGAGAGUGGAAGUCCACGUGUAGCGGUGAAAUGCGUAGAUAUGUGGAGGAACACCAGUGGCGAAGGCGACUCUCUGGUCUGUAACUGACGCUGAGGCGCGAAAGCGUGGGGAGCAAACAGG
Molecule: ribosomal RNA, 253 nt
Filed under: uncultured bacterium
Lineage: Bacteria
Description: partial 16S ribosomal RNA
Rfam family: Bacterial small subunit ribosomal RNA
Source: RNAcentral